This 253-nucleotide ribosomal RNA is filed under the name uncultured bacterium. RNAcentral's name for it is "partial 16S ribosomal RNA". It matches the Rfam family "Bacterial small subunit ribosomal RNA", at positions 524 to 776 of the family's 1533-position model. The record is from RNAcentral.
GACGUAGGGUGCGAGCGUUGUCCGGAUUUAUUGGGCGUAAAGAGCUCGUAGGCGGCUUGUCGCGUCGACUGUGAAAACCCGCAGCUCAACUGCGGGCCUGCAGUCGAUACGGGCAGGCUAGAGUUCGGUAGGGGAGACUGGAAUUCCUGGUGUAGCGGUGAAAUGCGCAGAUAUCAGGAGGAACACCGAUGGCGAAGGCAGGUCUCUGGGCCGAUACUGACGCUGAGGAGCGAAAGCGUGGGGAGCGAACAGG